AGUGAACGCUGGCGGCGUGCCUAAUACAUGCAGUCGAACGGAGAUUAAGAGCUUGCUAUUUAAUCUUAGUGGCGCACGGGUGAGUAAUAUAUAGCUAAUCUGCCCUACAUUAGAGGACAACAGUUGGAAACGACUGCUAAUACUCUAUACUCCUUCUAAGCAUAAGCUUAGUCGGGAAAGUUUUUCGGUGUAGGAUGAGGCUAUAUCGUAUCAGCUAGUUGGUGAGGUAAUGGCUCACCAAGGCUAUGACGCGUAACUGGUCUGAGAGGAUGAUCAGUCACACUGGAACUGAGACACGGUCCAGACUCCUACGGGAGGCAGCAGUAGGGAAUAUUGCUCAAUGGGGGAAACCCUGAAGCAGCAACGCCGCGUGGAGGAUGACACUUUUCGGAGCGUAAACUCCUUUUCUUGGGAAAGAAUUAUGACGGUACCCAAGGAAUACCGC
Molecule: ribosomal RNA, 445 nt
Filed under: Campylobacter sp. oral taxon G43
Lineage: Bacteria; Pseudomonadati; Campylobacterota; Epsilonproteobacteria; Campylobacterales; Campylobacteraceae
Description: bacterial SSU rRNA
Rfam family: Bacterial small subunit ribosomal RNA
Source: RNAcentral